Molecule: microRNA, 22 nt
Filed under: Echinops telfairi (small Madagascar hedgehog)
Lineage: Eukaryota; Metazoa; Chordata; Mammalia; Afrosoricida; Tenrecidae
Description: Ete-Mir-187_5p* (star (passenger))
Source: RNAcentral
GGCUACAACUCAGGACCCGGGC